This is a long non-coding RNA of Gastrolobium bilobum, 844 nucleotides long. RefSeq lists it as uncharacterized. The transcript is spliced from 4 exons. NCBI's taxonomy places the organism in Eukaryota, Viridiplantae, Streptophyta, Magnoliopsida, Fabales, Fabaceae. The record is from RefSeq and is a predicted model, not a curated record.
GCCAUGUUAUCUUCUUUUUAUUUUUCUUCCGAUGCGCAUGGUAGAGGGAAGCCUCACCUUAAAAGGAACAAUUAUUCCUUUAAACCAGAAUCAAAAUCAACACCCCUCUUCCCUCAUUACCUCUGCACCGUUGUUAGUUUCAAGCAAGGACACAUAGGAGAACCACCAACAUGCAUUCUCUUCUUCAAAAACUGUGAGUUAAGUGAGAGGAGAGCUACCACCUACGUCCCCUUUCCUUGCACUCACUGGUUCGGCUGAGUCACAACAGCCAUGGAAAGUGUACCACAAGCUCAUUCUUCAUCAUCCCUUGCUCAUCAUUCCUCCCAUUGGCUGAAUGAGAAUACUCGAUGACAUGCAAGAUGAAACAGCAGCUCAACAUUUCCUUCUGCUCUUGUACACACCGUUCGCUUCAAGUAGGAAAAGUCACACCACCUUUGCAUGCAGCUGGUUGUGACUGGAGAGUGAGAUUGAUUUCCUUUCCCCCGUAUAACUAACUAUUGGAGGCUUGAAAGAAGGGUCACCAACAUCAAGAGGACUGAAUGGAAUUUGAGAUACCUAUAUGUAUUGGUUAAAGGGUAAAGACUCAAGGAGGACUUAGAAGAAAUUAAGGAAGUGUUUGAUGACAUGAUCACAUGAAUAAAUCUAUUUGAGUUAUGUUGUAGGCAACCUUGCUGUUUGCUCACUGUUUCUGCUGAUUGUAUUUUGAUUAUUUGACCUUGUUGUAUUUUCUUAAAGAAUGGCAUUCCAUGAUGUAUAUUCUGUUUUGUAAAGAAGCAUAGCCAUGAUGUAUAUUUUGUUUUGAAAAGAAACGUAGCAUGACUUUUAUAUGUUUUGUAUUUAGUUU